AACGAACGCUGGCGGCAUGCCUAACACAUGCAAGUCGAACGAGACCUUCGGGUCUAGUGGCGCACGGGUGCGUAACGCGUGGGAAUCUGCCCUGGGGUGCGGAAUAACUCGGAGAAAUCCGUGCUAAUACCGCAUAAUGUCUUCGGACCAAAGAUUUAUCGCCCUGGGAUGAGCCCGCGUAGGAUUAGCUAGUUGGUGGGUAAAGGCCUACCAAGGCGACGAUCCUUAGCUGGUCUGAGAGGAUGAUCAGCCACACUGGGACUGAGACACGGCCCAGACUCCUACGGGAGGCAGCAGUGGGGAAUAUUGGACAAUGGGCGAAAGCCUGAUCCAGCAAUGCCGCGUGAGUGAUGAAGGCCCUAGGUGUAAAGCUCUUUACCCGGGUAUGAUAAUGACAGUACCGGGAGAAUAAGCUCCGGCUAACUCCGUGCCAGCAGCCGCGGUAAU
Molecule: ribosomal RNA, 447 nt
Filed under: uncultured bacterium
Lineage: Bacteria
Description: bacterial SSU rRNA
Rfam family: Bacterial small subunit ribosomal RNA
Source: RNAcentral